CUAAUUUCUGUCAUUAAACCUUAAACUAUUUUAUGUCGACCAAGAAAGUAUCCACAAAAUCAGAAAAACGUGGCAGUGACAAAAGUCGCUCUUUUCGUGCCGGCUUAACAUUUCCAGUUGGUCGCCUUCAUCGACAACUAAAGCAAGGUCAAUAUGCACGUAGGAUAGGCAUUGGUGCUCCAGUAUAUCUUGCUGCGGUCUUAGAAUACAUGACAGCCGAAAUAUUAGAAUUGGCAGGAAAUGCUUCUCGUGACCACUCACGUGUUCGCAUUAUUCCCCGCCACAUCAUGCUUGCUAUUCACAACGAUGAGGAACUCAGUAAGCUUCUGGAUCAAGUUACUAUAUCGAACUCUGGCGUUGCCUCUCAUGUAAACCCCUUUUUAACGAAGGCUAUUAAAAAGGAAAAGGGCGUCGAAAUUACUGACUCUCAGAUUUACUAAAUAUUAAUGCAUCAUAAAACUACUUAUUGAGUAAACUAUUCUUGGUGUAGCAAGCAUAUAGGCUAGCCAAAGCAGUUAUUGCUUCACUUUUUUUAUUAAAUAGCCGUUAGACAUUUAACCGA
Molecule: long non-coding RNA, 562 nt
Organism: Schistocerca gregaria
Lineage: Eukaryota; Metazoa; Arthropoda; Insecta; Orthoptera; Acrididae
Exons: 2
Source: RefSeq, a predicted model, not a curated record